This is a non-coding RNA of Clostridium sp. CAG:492, 73 nucleotides long. The record is from Rfam. NCBI's taxonomy places the organism in Bacteria, Bacillati, Bacillota, Clostridia, Eubacteriales, Clostridiaceae.
GGGCGCAUAGCUCAGCUGGGAGAGCAUCUGCCUUACAAGCAGGAGGUCAUAGGUUCGAGCCCUAUUGCGCCCA